GAAAUGCGAUACGCAAUGCGAAUUGCAGAAUCCGCGAGUCAUCAGAUCUUUGAACGCAAUUGGCGCCGAUACCCUCGGCAUGUUUGUUUCAGUGUGGAAGGAAUCACAAAUCAAAAUGCGAUUGAAAGGGACUCCCCCUCAAAAGGGGAAAACCUUUCUCUCGUUAAACAAGUCCGGUGUCUGCGCGAAUACCGUGCGGGCGGCAGUCACCCCACAAACGAAGUAGUCUCUUCCAAGAGAUCUCGUUUGCAUAAAGGGUAAGCCGACCUCAGCCUCUAUUCAACUAAAGCGUGGUCCCAACUUAAUUUUAAUCUAUUUUUCAAUUACGCCUGAAAUCAAGCAAGACGACCCGCUGAACUUAA
RNAcentral lists this unclassified non-coding RNA (362 nucleotides) under uncultured fungus. RNAcentral describes it as "sequence contains ITS1". The stretch from base 1 to 97 matches the Rfam family "5.8S ribosomal RNA", at positions 50 to 154 of the family's 154-position model. The record is from RNAcentral. Lineage: Eukaryota; Fungi.